Molecule: ribosomal RNA, 397 nt
Filed under: uncultured bacterium
Lineage: Bacteria
Description: partial 16S ribosomal RNA
Rfam family: Bacterial small subunit ribosomal RNA
Source: RNAcentral
AUACGUAGGUGGCGAGCGUUGUCCGGAAUUACUGGGUGUAAAGGGCGUGUAGGCGGGAAAGCAAGUCAGAUGUGAAAUACCGGGGCUUAACUCCGGGGCUGCAUCUGAAACUGUUUUUCUUGAGUGUCGGAGAGGAAAGCGGAAUUCCUAGUGUAGCGGUGAAAUGCGUAGAUAUUAGGAGGAACACCAGUGGCGAAGGCGGCUUUCUGGACGACAACUGACGCUGAGGCGCGAAAGCGUGGGGAGCAAACAGGAUUAGAUACCCUGGUAGUCCACGCCGUAAACGAUGGAUACUAGGUGUAGGAGGUAUCGACCCCUUCUGUGCCGGAGUUAACACAAUAAGUAUCCCACCUGGGGAGUACGGCCGCAAGGUUGAAACUCAAAUGAAUUGACGGGG